This is a long non-coding RNA of Rhododendron vialii, 1138 nucleotides long. RefSeq lists it as uncharacterized. Lineage: Eukaryota; Viridiplantae; Streptophyta; Magnoliopsida; Ericales; Ericaceae. The transcript has 3 exons. The record is from RefSeq and is a predicted model, not a curated record.
AAUAAGUCUGGUAAAGAAGCAUUCUUCCUCAUAAAAUAACCACAACAGAAAUGUUGCAUUACCAGGCUUUAAGUGUUCAUUUGAUGACUAUUACUAGUUGGGCGCCCACAUGCGGAUCUUUCUGAGUGGCAUCUUGGAUACCAUAUGAUGAUGACAAAAUACAUUCAUCCAGAAAUAUAUGAAAAUGACAUACACUUGCAUCAUCCUUUUCUCAUGUCCAAUUCUACUACAUGUUUCCUAGAACUCUUGACUGGCAAGUUUAGGUGUUCGUUUAACAACAAUUCUAGUUGGCCAACCAAGUGCAUGUCUCGUUGAAGUGAUGUUCUGAGUUGUUUGGAGUAUAAUGCAACAUUUAGACAUUUAGUACACAUAACCAGGUAAAAAUAUGACCAUUGUUUUGUGCUUUUCAGGUAGUAGAGAAAUUUGCUUGAUCGGAGAACGAAAAACAAAGAGCAUUUCACCUCAAAAAAAUUCUUGUUUUGUUUUUUCAAAAUGCUUCCUAAGUAGUACAUGACAUAAACUAGUAAGCACAUCAAAUUUUGAUUAAUUAACAUAUAAACAGACUCAGUAGUUGAUUAGAACUAAAAUGGGUUUUCAUUAGAUGGGCUUGUCGACUAACUCACUCUAAGUGCCCAGAUAAGAUACAAUAACAGUGGUAAUUGCAGUAACUUGAUAAUGGGACUUGACUGCUAUACAUGAGAAAGGAAUUUCCUGGGCCUAUGCAUUUUUUUUUAAAAUAAGAUAAAAGAAAUGAAAAAACAUAAACACAUGGAGAAUGAACGAAAGAACAACGAAAGGCAACUCAAACAAAAGACAUCCCAUGCAGGAACUUUCUCGCUGGAAAGUAUCGUCACUGUGAACACAUUAAACAUGGGAUAGAGAAUCUCUACACCCAAGUGAACUACCAGCUUGUUAAUAACUUAAUAGCUAAAUUCAAUUCCCAUAUCAGUAAAACCUACAGAAGAAUUAUUGCUUUGGGGAAGGUGCACUAGUGCAGUGAACCAUAAUGAAACAAUAUCACCAAGAGCACACUAUGAACAACAAAUACAAACGGGGAUAAAGAAAUGUAGGGAUCAACCAAUGUUCAAAAGCCGUGGAUAAAAGAAGCUAUUAUAGUGCAAAAAACGCAAAUAAAUAA